GCCAGGUGCAGUGGUGCACACCUGCAAUCCCAGCAGCUCUGGAGGCUGAGGCAGGAGGAUCACAAGUUCAAAGCCAGCCUCAGCCACUUAGGGAGGCCCUGGGCAACUCAGUGAGAUUCUGUCUCUA
RNAcentral lists this small RNA (127 nucleotides) under Marmota monax (woodchuck). The record is from RNAcentral. Lineage: Eukaryota; Metazoa; Chordata; Mammalia; Rodentia; Sciuridae.